RNAcentral lists this ribosomal RNA (448 nucleotides) under uncultured bacterium. RNAcentral describes it as "SSU rRNA". It matches the Rfam family "Bacterial small subunit ribosomal RNA", at positions 26 to 518 of the family's 1533-position model. The record is from RNAcentral.
AGAACGAACGCUGGCGGCAGGCUUAACACAUGCAAGUCGAACGCUCGUAGCAAUACGGGAGUGGCAGACGGGUGAGUAACGCGUGGGAACAUACCCUCCGGUUCGGAAUAACUCAGGGAAACUUGAGCUAAUACCGGAUACGGCUGAGAGGCGAAAGAUUUAUCGCCGGAGGAUUGGCCCGCGUUCGAUUAGCUUGUUGGUGAGGUAACGGCUCACCAAGGCGACGAUCGAUAGCUGGUCUGAGAGGAUGAUCAGCCACAUUGGGACUGAGACACGGCCCAAACUCCUACGGGAGGCAGCAGUGGGGAAUAUUGGACAAUGGGCGCAAGCCUGAUCCAGCCAUGCCGCGUGAGUGAUGAAGGCCCUAGGGUUGUAAAGCUCUUUUGUGCGGGAAGAUAAUGACGGUACCGCAAGAAUAAGCCCCGGCUAACUUCGUGCCAGCAGCCGC